GUGAACCUGCGGAAGGAUCAUUGUCGAUACCUAGAACAAAACGACCCGAGAACGCUCGAUCAUCACUAUCGG
RNAcentral lists this ribosomal RNA (72 nucleotides) under Schoenocrambe linifolia. RNAcentral describes it as "partial 18S ribosomal RNA". Lineage: Eukaryota; Viridiplantae; Streptophyta; Magnoliopsida; Brassicales; Brassicaceae. The record is from RNAcentral.